Molecule: ribosomal RNA, 428 nt
Filed under: uncultured bacterium
Lineage: Bacteria
Description: partial 16S ribosomal RNA
Rfam family: Bacterial small subunit ribosomal RNA
Source: RNAcentral
GUGGGGAAUAUUGGGCAAUGGGGGCAACCCUGACCCAGCAACGCCGCGUGAGGGAAGAAGGUUUUCGGAUUGUAAACCUCUGUCCUAUGGGAAGAAGGAAGUGACGGUACCAUAGGAGGAAGCCCCGGCUAACUACGUGCCAGCAGCCGCGGUAAUACGUAGGGGGCGAGCGUUGUCCGGAAUUACUGGGCGUAAAGGGUGCGCAGGUGGCCUGACAAGUCAGAUGUGAAAUACCGAUGCUUAACGGCGGGGCUGCAUUUGAAACUAUGAUGCUGGUGUGCAGGAGAGUGAAGCGGAAUUCCUAGUGUAGCGGUGAAAUGCAUAGAUAUUAGGAGGAACACCAGUGGCGAAGGCGGCUUUCUGGACUGUAACUGACACUGAGGCACGAAAGCGUGGGGAGCAAACAGGAUUAGAAACCCUAGUAGUCC